AAACAAACGUAAACGCGUAUCGUUCAAACUCCGUGAACGACACGGAGAUGGAAACACGGUCGGUGGAGCCGCGCAGACGAUUACGCGGAAAGUUUCACGUGAUGGGACUUUUCCGGAAUCACCUACCGGCUUCCGGGAAGAUUUUCCGCCCGUCCGGCUGUGCGGACUCAAGGAGAGAAAGGAAAAAGCAUUCCUCUGUGUAACCACACUUAGGACCUUUAAAAAGAUUCAUUAAUAUCUGCACACCGGUCCACGUCCGCCUCCCCAUGCAGAACUCCGUGAAAUGAAUAAAGCACCACAGCCUCUAACAGGACCCCCCUCCAACCCCCACCCCGCCCCCUCCCCCGGCCUGUCACAGGUAAGAGGUGCCAUCGG
This is a non-coding RNA of Gasterosteus aculeatus aculeatus (three-spined stickleback), 375 nucleotides long. Lineage: Eukaryota; Metazoa; Chordata; Actinopteri; Perciformes; Gasterosteidae. The record is from RefSeq and is a predicted model, not a curated record.